ACGGAAGGCAGCAGUGGGGGAUAUUGCACAAUGGAGGAAACUCUGAUGCAGCAACGCCGCGUGAAGGAAGAAGGUCUUCGGAUUGUAAACUUCUGUUCUUGGUGACGAAACAAAUGACGGUAGCCAAGGAGAAAGCCACGGCUAGCUACGUGCCAGCAGCCGCGGUAAUACGUAGGUGGCAAGCGUUGUCCGGAAUUACUGGGUGUAAAGGGUGCGCAGGCGGGACUGCAAGUUGGAUGUGAAAUCCCGAGGCUUAACCUCGGAACUGCAUCCAAAACUGUGGUUCUUGAGUGAAGUAGAGGUUGGCGGAAUUCCGAGUGUAGCGGUGAAAUGCGUAGAUAUUCGGAGGAACACCAGUGGCGAAGGCGGCCAACUGGGCUUUAACUGACGCUGAGGCACGAAAGUAUGGGGAGCAAACAGGAUUAGAUACCCUGGUA
RNAcentral lists this ribosomal RNA (437 nucleotides) under uncultured Ethanoligenens sp. RNAcentral describes it as "partial 16S ribosomal RNA". It matches the Rfam family "Bacterial small subunit ribosomal RNA", at positions 341 to 792 of the family's 1533-position model. Lineage: Bacteria; Bacillati; Bacillota; Clostridia; Eubacteriales; Oscillospiraceae. The record is from RNAcentral.